GGGAAGAUGACGGAAUCGAACCCUCGACCUCUCACUCCCGUAGCGAGAAUCAUACCACUAGACCAAUCUUCC
This 72-nucleotide transfer RNA is filed under the name Sylvanvirus sp. RNAcentral's name for it is "tRNA-Pro". The record is from RNAcentral.